AGUGAACGCUGGCGGUAGGCCUAACACAUGCAAGUCGAACGGCAGCACAGUAAGAGCUUGCUCUUACGGGUGGCGAGUGGCGGACGGGUGAGGAAUACAUCGGAAUCUACCUUUUCGUGGGGGAUAACGUAGGGAAACUUACGCUAAUACCGCAUACGACCUACGGGUGAAAGCAGGGGAUCUUCGGACCUUGCGCGAUUGAAUGAGCCGAUGUCGGAUUAGCUAGUUGGCGGGGUAAAGGCCCACCAAGGCGACGAUCCGUAGCUGGUCUGAGAGGAUGAUCAGCCACACUGGAACUGAGACACGGUCCAGACUCCUACGGGAGGCAGCAGUGGGGAAUAUUGGACAAUGGGCGCAAGCCUGAUCCAGCCAUACCGCGUGGGUGAAGAAGGCCUUCGGGUUGUAAAGCCCUUUUGUUGGGAAAGAAAAGCAGCAGGUUAAUACCCCGCUGUUCUGACGGUACCCAAAGAAUAGGCACCGGCUAACUUCGUG
This 492-nucleotide ribosomal RNA is filed under the name uncultured bacterium. Its description in RNAcentral is "partial 16S ribosomal RNA". It matches the Rfam family "Bacterial small subunit ribosomal RNA", at positions 29 to 507 of the family's 1533-position model. The record is from RNAcentral.